CUGAACGCCUCUAAGUCAGUAAAAGAGGUACAAAUCUUCAUUGGGUGUGCAAAUUUCUACCGAAGGUUAUAAAAAACCUACCUGAAAUAUGUAAACCAACAACCGAUACCCUAAAAAACUAAGAGAAAGGGGUGAAAACCCCUUUUUACUGGGGACAGGAGCAAGAAAAAACCUUUGAGGAAUGAAAAAGAAAGUUGACAAUCCGCGCCAAUCCUAGCACAUUUCUACCCAGAUAGAAAGACAGUGGUAGAAACCGACGCCAGUGAGGUUGCCCUAGGCUACGUAUUGUCACAAUACCUUGGGAAGCGGUUACACCCAGUGGCGUUCCACUCCCAAAAGCUGAACGAUGCCGAACGAAACUAUGAGAUCCACGGCCAUAGGACUCUG
Molecule: unclassified non-coding RNA, 387 nt
Filed under: Tuber borchii (whitish truffle)
Lineage: Eukaryota; Fungi; Ascomycota; Pezizomycetes; Pezizales; Tuberaceae
Source: RNAcentral